This 430-nucleotide ribosomal RNA is filed under the name uncultured bacterium. Its description in RNAcentral is "bacterial SSU rRNA". It matches the Rfam family "Bacterial small subunit ribosomal RNA", at positions 354 to 776 of the family's 1533-position model. The record is from RNAcentral.
GUGGGGAAUAUUGGACAAUGGGGGCAACCCUGAUCCAGCGACGCCGCGUGGGUGAAGAAGGCCUGCGGGUUGUAAAGCCCUUUCGGUGGGGAAGAAAAGUUCUGACUUAAUACGUCGGGACCUUGACGUAACCCACUAAAGAAGCACCGGCUAACUCUGUGCCAGCAGCCGCGGUAAUACAGAGGGUGCGAGCGUUAAUCGGAAUUACUGGGCGUAAAGCGCGCGUAGGCGGCUUUGCAAGUCGGGUGUGAAAUCCCCAGGCUUAACCUGGGAACUGCAUUCGAGACUGCAUAGCUAGAGUAUCGGAGAGGGAAGUGGAAUUUCAGGUGUAGCGGUGAAAUGCGUAGAUAUCUGAAGGAACAUCAGUGGCGAAAGCGACUUCCUGGACGAAUACUGACGCUCAUGUGCGAAAGCGUGGGGAGCAAACAGG